RNAcentral lists this ribosomal RNA (444 nucleotides) under uncultured Bacteroidales bacterium. Its description in RNAcentral is "bacterial SSU rRNA". It matches the Rfam family "Bacterial small subunit ribosomal RNA", at positions 354 to 796 of the family's 1533-position model. The record is from RNAcentral. Lineage: Bacteria; Pseudomonadati; Bacteroidota; Bacteroidia; Bacteroidales.
GUGAGGAAUAUUGGUCAAUGGACGGAGGUCUGAACCAGCCAAGUCGCGUGAGGGACGACGGCCCUACGGGUUGUAAACCUCUUUUGCGGGGGAGUAAAGUGAGCCACGUGUGGCUCAUUGCGAGUACCCCGAGAAAAAGCAUCGGCUAAUUCCGUGCCAGCAGCCGCGGUAAUACGGAAGAUGCGAGCGUUAUCCGGAUUUAUUGGGUUUAAAGGGUGCGCAGGCGGCAUGUCAAGUCAGCGGUCAAAGUUCCGGGCUCAACCCGGUGAUGCCGUUGAAACUGGCGCGCUUGAGUUCGUGGGAGGAAGGCGGAAUGCGCGGUGUAGCGGUGAAAUGCAUAGAUAUCACGCAGAACCCCGAUUGCGAAGGCAGCCUUCCAUCACGCCACUGACGCUGAGGCACGAAAGCGUGGGUAUCGAACAGGAUUAGAUACCCCGGUAGUCC